GACGAACGCUGGCGGCGUGCCUAAUACAUGCAAGUAGAACGAAGUGGCGAACGGGUGAGUAAUACGUGAGUAACCUGCCCUCCUUUUUGGGAUAAGCCUUGGAAACGGGGUCUAAUACCGGAUAAAGGGGGAUGGGCUCGCGGCCUAUCAGCUUGUUGGUGGGGUGAUGGCCUACCAAGGCGGUGACGGGUAGCCGGCCUGAGAGGGUGACCGGCCACAUGGGGACUGAGAUACGGCCCAGACUCCUACGGGGGGCAGCAGUGGGGGAUAUUGCACAAUGGGCGAAGGGCUUAUGCAGCGACGACGCGUGGGGGAUGAAGGCUUUGGGGUUGUAAACCUCUUUCGGUAUCGAACGGGUAGGUGUAGAAGAAGCGCCGGCUAACUACGUGCCAGCCGCCGCGGUAAUAC
RNAcentral lists this ribosomal RNA (408 nucleotides) under uncultured bacterium. Its description in RNAcentral is "partial 16S ribosomal RNA". It matches the Rfam family "Bacterial small subunit ribosomal RNA", at positions 28 to 526 of the family's 1533-position model. The record is from RNAcentral.